RNAcentral lists this transfer RNA (74 nucleotides) under Acidimicrobiales bacterium. Its description in RNAcentral is "tRNA-Met". It matches the Rfam family "tRNA". From Rfam's summary of the family: Transfer RNA (tRNA) molecules are approximately 80 nucleotides in length. Their secondary structure includes four short double-helical elements and three loops (D, anti-codon, and T loops). Further hydrogen bonds mediate the characteristic L-shaped molecular structure. tRNAs have two regions of fundamental functional importance: the anti-codon, which is responsible for specific mRNA codon recognition, and the 3' end, to which the tRNAs corresponding amino acid is attached (by aminoacyl-tRNA synthetases). tRNAs cope with the degeneracy of the genetic code in two manners: having more than one tRNA (with a specific anti-codon) for a particular amino acid; and 'wobble' base-pairing, i.e. permitting non-standard base-pairing at the 3rd anti-codon position. RNAcentral also lists the same sequence under 1 other name. The record is from RNAcentral. Lineage: Bacteria; Bacillati; Actinomycetota; Acidimicrobiia; Acidimicrobiales.
GGCGACGUAGCUCAGUUGGUGAGAGCGCGCGAUUCAUAAUCGCGAGGUCGACAGUUCAAGUCUGUCCGUCGCUA